This 104-nucleotide small RNA is filed under the name Epilithonimonas pallida. RNAcentral's name for it is "Flavo-1 RNA". It matches the Rfam family "Flavo-1 RNA". The record is from RNAcentral. Lineage: Bacteria; Pseudomonadati; Bacteroidota; Flavobacteriia; Flavobacteriales; Weeksellaceae.
AUGCAAUAGGGAUAGUAGUGGAAAUCCUUUUUUGCUUGGACUUCUAGUCUUUUGUAUGACAAAUGUUGAUGCAAAAAAGAUUGCAACGGAUAGCCCGACCCGAG